Molecule: small RNA, 2984 nt
Filed under: Pan troglodytes (chimpanzee)
Lineage: Eukaryota; Metazoa; Chordata; Mammalia; Primates; Hominidae
Description: retained intron
Source: RNAcentral
AAUCCCGGCGCCUCAGAGGACUAUGAGGCGGGCGCUAACUGCAUGGGCCGCAGGGCGGGAGGCAGCGCGGGAGCGGGGCGUUGAGGGGCCGGCCUAGCUUGGGGCUCUGGCCUUGCGUCUUCCGACCGAAUCGCCGCUCCUGAGCCCGGUGCUGGGCUGCCGCUAUCGCCUGGCCGUGGGUGCCGGAGCGGCCGGGUUGCGACUCAGCGUUCUUGGGUGGGCGCGGGCGGCGUCUCCGCGGCGGGCAUCCCCCGAGGCCGCCCUCGGGCCAUGAUCGACUCCGUGAAGCUGCGCCGCGACAGCGCGGCGGACUUCUUCUCCCACUACGAGUACCUGUGCGCGCUGCAGGACUCGGUGCCGCUGCCCGCCGUGCGCGCCUGUCUCCGGGAGGGCGUGCUGGAUUUCAACGCCGACCGCCUCCGCGGGGUGGACUGGGCGCCUCUGCUGAGCACCCUCAAGAUCAAUAAAGACCUGCCCUUGGUCUCCAUCAAGAGUUUCUUCCAGCCCUGGCUGGGGGACACAGGUUUGUAGUUCCCGCGUCCAGGGCCCCUCAGUCGGUGCGGCGAAGUGGGUUUUUAGGUUCUGACAUGAAUAAAUUUUGCAGAAGUCGUGUUCCUGCGAUAAGAUACAAAGAUGUGACCUUCCAGUUGUGUAAAGCUCUUAAAGGCUGUUUAAGUAUAUCAAGUGUGCUAAAGAACCUGGAGCUAAAUGGACUAAUUCUGAGAGAGAGGGAUUUAACUAUUCUAGCAAAGGGAUUGAAUAAAUCGGCUUCUUUGGUGCACCUGUCUCUUGCAAAUUGUCCAAUUGGAGAUGGAGGUUUAGAAAUUAUUUGUCAAGGUAUAAAGAGCUCUAUCACUCUUAAGACAGUCAACUUCACAGGAUGUAAUCUGACAUGGCAGGGAGCAGAUCACAUGGCCAAGAUCUUAAAGUAUCAGACCAUGAGAAGGCAUGAAGAAACCUGGGCUGAGAGUCUUCGCUAUAGGAGACCUGAUCUUGACUGUAUGGCUGGCUUAAGACGUAUCACACUGAAUUGCAACACACUUAUUGGUGACCUAGGUGCAAGUGCUUUUGCAGACUCUCUCAGUGAGGAUUUAUGGCUGAGAGCUCUUGACCUGCAACAGUGCGGCCUCACCAAUGAAGGAGCAAAGGCUUUGCUAGAGGCCCUUGAAACCAAUACAACUCUGGUCGUUCUGGAUAUAAGAAAAAAUCCACUCAUUGAUCAUUCUAUGAUGAAAGCAGUUAUCAAAAAAGUUCUCCAGAAUGGAAGGAGUGCCAAAUCAGAGUACCAGUGGAUAACUUCUCCAUCAGUGAAGGAACCAUCCAAAACUGCUAAACAGAAAAAGAGAACUAUAAUUCUAGGAAGUGGUCACAAAGGAAAAGCUACUAUUAGAAUUGGUAACCUUUUCUGUCUUGGCUUUUUAAUACCACUAGUGUUCUAGUGUGUUAAAAUUAAAAUCUCUUCUCAUUGUAUGAUAUUGACAGUAACAACCAAUAUUGACUCCCUGCAUAUUAUGAGGUCUGUAAUUGUUCUGAUAAGAUUAUGAGAAUUUAUGGAAUGUAGAAAUAGUAAAUGAAUCAUUAGGAAAGGGAUGCUAGUGCUUCCAUUUAAAAAAUUACCCUUAUUUGUUUUUCAUACAAUAUUCAUCAUUUUGGAUAUGUUUUCUGAUUCAUGAUUACUUUUGAUACUUUGCAAUUGAAAUUUGGGAUGCACUUUGAUGACAGUUUUAGCAGUGCUUUUGUAUGAUUUUGUUGUUGUUGUUAUUAAUGAAGAAUUAUCCUUUCAUACUAUAGAAAACAAAAUUUCUUCCCAGUUCCAUUUUUUUUCCCUUGUUUCCUCCUCCUUCCUUGCAAAUUCUUACCCAAAGUUGUUGUAUUAGGUAGCACCUUGCUUCUUUCAAUGAUGAAAUAACCUUAAAAUAUAUGUAAUCCUUGUAAAACAAUACUGCAGGUAAGUUUAUUACCCAGAGAUGGAACAUUUUAGACAAACAUUCCCUAAAUGUUUGCUAUUUAUGGUUUAUUUAAUCUGCCAAAUAAUAGUCUAGAAUUUUGAAAUUGUCUAUAAUUUUGUGACCAAGAAUAAUGAAAAAAGACUUUAUAAACUGUUUAUCAGCUAAUGGCAUAAAUUUCACAUUCUCCUGAAUACAUAAAUUUGGUAUAAUCUCGUUCUACUGAUAUUUUCACAUUUUUUUUAAAGAGUCUUUAACUUUUGUAGAACACAUUAUCUUUAGUCAUAAGUAGCCUUUUCUUACUGAUAAGAAUGAGUGACUGUGGAAUAAGUUAAGCCAAAUCUAAUGUGAAAGUGACCUUUUCUUGUAAGUAACUUUGAAUUUUGAAACAGUAAAACCAUGAAGACUACUACAGAGAAAAAAAUUAAUGUUUUUAUGUUUAUAAUCUGCCAGUUUCCCAGAAAAAGAUCUGUGGUGACUUUAGUUCAUACCCUGUACAUUAAGAUCACCAAACAAUUAACACCAGAUAAUCUUUUAUUUGGAUGCUACUUUAAAUUUUUAAAGGAUAUCACUUGACUUAAUAUCACUGAACUGUACACUUAAAAAUGGCUAAGAUAUAAAACAAUUUAACAUAAAAUAUAAAACAUUAGAAAUUCUAUAAUUUUAGUAGCUAGUGGUGUAUAAUUGGACAUCAUUGAAUGAGAAUAAAAAACAAAAAUCUUUUUUCUUAGCAUGAUUGAAGAAAUUGGAAAUGUGACUGAAGUUUACAAGCUCACUGAGCUAUUUUAAGAGUAACUUUAUUUCUCGGGCUUUUUUUGUAUUUGCCUCAGUAAUUUGGAGACACAGAGGUAAGCCAAAUCAGUGUCUGGCUUUAUAUUUAAUAGUUAGGUGUCAGUGAGUAUAGGGGUUAUAUAAUUUAUGUAAAUUAUAUCACAUUCAUAUUGCAAUUACGUGUACAGACAGAAGAUAGGAAACUUUAUAAUUUUUUUCGUCUAACAAGAUAAGUAAAUUAGUUUGGUUUUAAUUAAAAUUUAUAUU